GACGAACGCUGGCGGCGUGCCUAAUACAUGCAAGUAGAACGCAGUUGCGAACGGGUGAGUAACGCGUAGGUAACUGCCUCAUAGCGGGGGAUAACUAUUGGAAAAGGUAGCUAAUACCGCAAACUGUGAGAUGGACCUGCGUUGUAUUAGCUAGUUGGUGAGGUAAAGGGUCACCAAGGCGACGAUACCUAGCCGACCUGGGAGGGUGAUCGGCCACACUGGGACUGAGGAACGGCCCAGACUCCUACGGGAGGCAGCCGUAGGGAAUCUUUGGCAAUGGGCGGAAGUCUGACCGAGCAACGGCGCGUGAGUGAAGGAGGUUUUCGGAUCGUAAAGCUCUGUUGAUCGAGAAGCGUUAACUAACCAGAAAGGGACGGCUAACUACGUGCCAGCAGCCGCGGUAAUUC
This 407-nucleotide ribosomal RNA is filed under the name uncultured bacterium. RNAcentral's name for it is "partial 16S ribosomal RNA". It matches the Rfam family "Bacterial small subunit ribosomal RNA", at positions 28 to 526 of the family's 1533-position model. The record is from RNAcentral.